RNAcentral lists this ribosomal RNA (393 nucleotides) under uncultured bacterium. RNAcentral describes it as "bacterial SSU rRNA". It matches the Rfam family "Bacterial small subunit ribosomal RNA", at positions 521 to 916 of the family's 1533-position model. The record is from RNAcentral.
UAAUACGGAGGGUGCAAGCGUUAUCCGGAUUUACUGGGUUUAAAGGGUGUGUAGGCGGAUCUUUAAGUCAGUGGUGAAAUCUCCGAGCUUAACUUGGAAACUGCCAUUGAUACUAUUGAUCUUGAAUUCUGUUGAGGUGGGCGGAAUAAGUCAUGUAGCGGUGAAAUGCAUAGAUAUGACUUAGAACACCAAUUGCGAAGGCAGCUCGCUAAGCAGAUAUUGACGCUGAGGCACGAAAGCGUGGGGAUCAAACAGGAUUAGAUACCCUGGUAGUCCACGCCCUAAACGAUGAUUACUCGACAUACGCGAUACACAGUGUGUGUCUGAGCGAAAGCAUUAAGUAAUCCACCUGGGAAGUACGACCGCAAGGUUGAAACUCAAAUGAAUUGACGG